This 27-nucleotide non-coding RNA is filed under the name Rattus norvegicus (Norway rat). Lineage: Eukaryota; Metazoa; Chordata; Mammalia; Rodentia; Muridae. The record is from RNAcentral.
UGAGUAAGUCAUGGUGGCACAAUGAAG